UGCGCCCGUAGCUCAGCAGGAUAGAGCAGCGGUUUCCUAAACCGCAGGUCGGAGGUUCGAAUCCUCUCGGGCGCGU
RNAcentral lists this transfer RNA (76 nucleotides) under Phycisphaerae bacterium RAS1. RNAcentral describes it as "tRNA-Arg". It matches the Rfam family "tRNA". From Rfam's summary of the family: Transfer RNA (tRNA) molecules are approximately 80 nucleotides in length. RNAcentral also lists the same sequence under 1 other name. Lineage: Bacteria; Pseudomonadati; Planctomycetota; Phycisphaerae. The record is from RNAcentral.